RNAcentral lists this ribosomal RNA (275 nucleotides) under uncultured bacterium. RNAcentral describes it as "partial 16S ribosomal RNA". It matches the Rfam family "Archaeal small subunit ribosomal RNA", at positions 473 to 747 of the family's 1478-position model. The record is from RNAcentral.
CCACCGACAGCUCAAGUGGUGGUCACGUUUAUUGGGCUUAAAGCGUCCGUAGUCUGUUGUACCAGUCUUCUGUGAAAUCCAACGGCUUAACCGUUGGGCUUGCAGAAGAUACUAUACAGCUAGAGGUCGGGAGGGGGAUGGGGUAUUUCAGGGGUAGCGGUGAAAUGUUAUAAUCCCUGGAAGACCACCUGUGGCGAAGGCGCCAUCCUGGAACGGGCCUGACGAUGAGGGACGAAAGCUAGGGGAGCAAACGGGAUUAGAAACCCUAGUAGUCC